RNAcentral lists this ribosomal RNA (888 nucleotides) under Basidiomycota sp. T-861. RNAcentral's name for it is "eukaryotic LSU rRNA". It matches the Rfam family "Eukaryotic large subunit ribosomal RNA", at positions 1 to 882 of the family's 3401-position model. The record is from RNAcentral. Lineage: Eukaryota; Fungi; Basidiomycota.
CAAAUCAGGUAGGACUACCCGCUGAACUUAAGCAUAUCAAUAAGCGGAGGAAAAGAAACUAACAAGGAUUCCCCUAGUAACUGCGAGUGAAGCGGGAAAAGCUCAAAUUUAAAAUCUGGCGGUCUUUGGCCGUCCGAGUUGUAGUCUGGAGAAGUGCUUUCCGCGCUGGACCGUGUAUAAGUCUCUUGGAACAGAGCGUCAUAGAGGGUGAGAAUCCCGUCUUUGACACGGACUACCAGUGCUUUGUGAUGCGCUCUCGAAGAGUCGAGUUGUUUGGGAAUGCAGCUCAAAAUGGGUGGUGAAUUCCAUCUAAAGCUAAAUAUUGGCGAGAGACCGAUAGCGAACAAGUACCGUGAGGGAAAGAUGAAAAGCACUUUGGAAAGAGAGUUAAACAGUACGUGAAAUUGCUGAAAGGGAAACGCUUGAAGUCAGUCGCGUCGGCCGGAACUCAGCCUUGCUUUUGCUUGGUGCACUUUCCGGUUGACGGGUCAGCAUCGAUUUUGACCGUCGGAAAAGGGCUAGGGUAAUGUGGCACCUCCGGGUGUGUUAUAGACUCUAGUCGCAUACGGCGGUUGGGAUCGAGGAACGCAGCGCGCCGCAAGGCAGGGGUUCGCCCACUUUCGCGCUUAGGAUGCUGGCAUAAUGGCUUUAAACGACCCGUCUUGAAACACGGACCAAGGAGUCUAACAUACCUGCGAGUGUUUGGGUGGAAAACCCGAGCGCGUAAUGAAAGUGAAAGUUGAGACCUCUGUCGUGGAGGGCAUCGACGCCCGGACCUGACGUUCUCUGACGGAUCCGCGGUAGAGCAUGUAUGUUGGGACCCGAAAGAUGGUGAACUAUGCCUGAAUAGGGUGAAGCCAGAGGAAACUCUGGUGGAGGCUCGUAGCG